RNAcentral lists this long non-coding RNA (3613 nucleotides) under Ananas comosus (pineapple). RNAcentral describes it as "long non-coding RNA (ACOM_LNC022015)". Lineage: Eukaryota; Viridiplantae; Streptophyta; Magnoliopsida; Poales; Bromeliaceae. The record is from RNAcentral.
ACCCCUAGCGGUAGGCGUGGCAAUCCAACUCGUGUUCGGCUCGAAAUGAGUCCGAGAUCGAAUCGCUCGUUUAGUAAACGAGCCGAAUACGAGUCGAAUUUUUCGGCUCAUUUAUUAAACGAGCCAAACACGAGUUGGGGUCAGCUCGCUCGUGUUCAGCUCGAUAACAGCUCAAAUACAUAUAUUUUAUAUUUAUAUAAUUUAUUUAAUUUAUAUUUAUAUAUAUAAAUAAAUAAUUAUAUAUAUAAUAUAUAUUUUUAUUAUUAAAUUUUUAGCAAAAUAAAAAUAUAAAGGCGAGCUCAAUUAUAAAAAAAACUCAUUUAUAUAUAAAGUUUCUAACUAUUAGAUUAAAAUCUGAUGGAUAAGAUUUUAUAAAUUUAUCUCUUACAUAUAUUCAAUCUAAUCCUUUUAACUUAUUAUUGUUCGUUGGCCAGCUCGUGGUCGGCCCGUUUAUUAACGAGCCAAACACGAAUUGAAUUUUUUGGCUCAAAACUUUAACGAGCUAGCUCGUGUUCAACUCGUUUAGUGACGAACGGACGGACACGAGCCGAUUCCAACUCGCUCGUGUUCGGCUCAUUUACACCCCUAUUCGGGAGUCUGUGGCUAUUUAUUUUUUAACAGAGAGCUUGUAAAAUAACCAUUUUAUUUCUAUAAAUAUAUCCAUCAAAAAGUCAUUUUUUCCUUACUCUUUUUCAUCUCUAUGAAAAAUUCGUGUGCCCUCGUCGUCUUUCUGGGCGGUGACGCGAUGGUGGGAUUUAUAAUAAAAAUCAAUAUAUAAGAGAUAAAAUAGUCUUUUUAUAUAUAAACUAAUUUAGAUUAGAUAUUUAAUUCAUGAUUAAUGAUAAUUUUUUAACAUAUGCUGACGGUAGGAAUAUCUAUAUCUAUACUACUUAUAAAAACGUGAGUUUUGAAUUUUUUCCUCUUUCCCAAAAUACCGGUCCCUAUUAAUAUAAUUCCAAUCAUAUACUAAUAAUAUCAUUCAUUCAACUUUAAUGGAAUAAAUUACAGUCGUACAAUUUUUAUUUUAUUUUUAAAUUAUCAUAAAAUAUAUUAAUUCUUAGUCAUUAGAUCUAAUCAAAUGACUGACGAAUUAAGUAUCUGUCACUUUUUUUAUCUAAAUUGUCCUCAAAUAGUACGUAUCAAAUUUUACUUUUUAUAUGCAUGUCAUAUCUUCUAAUAACCGCCGCCCACAUAAUAUCAUAUUUUAUAACAAAUAAUAUUCGCAUUUCUAAAUAUUUUAUUUUUCACACAAAAUAUUCGCCACCUAUAUAAUAUCCAAUCACAUAAUACCUCCCGCAUAUAUAAUAUUUAAUCAUAUUUUUUAAAAGGUGAAUAUAUAAAAAUUAUCUCAAUUUUACCUAUGAGAUAUUUUUUCAAUAAAAUAUAAUAUAUAAGUUUACAAUUUAAAAUUUUAAAUUUGUAGAUAAAUAUGAUUCACAAAUUGCUAUUGAUUUGAGAUAAUUAUUAAAAUAAUUGUUGACACAGACAAAACUUUUUUUAGUCGGAAAAAAUAUUGCAUUUCAUUUGCGAGAAUAGAAAGAAAUUUAUACUUAUCCAAAUUUUUGUCAACUGAAGGAUAUUUGCUGUAAAAUAUUUUUCACAAGCACCCUAUAAAAUAAUAUUCCAUACUUAUAAAAAAAAAUGAAAAUCUCUAUGCAACAAACAUUGAAAAUAUUUUGUAUCUACUAUCUCUCAAUUAGCUAAUUAAAAAAAAAAAGGUUUGAAAAAUAAAACGAUUUAAAUAAGCUUAUUAAAUCAACUUUAAAUUUUAAAUUUGGUUCAUAAUUUCAAAUGUGAAUUAAUAUUUUAAUUUAAAAUUUGAAAUUAAUUAAAAUUUUAAUAUUUUGGGUGUGUAAACAGUAUUUCAAAUUGAAAAUAAUUAAUUAAUUUGAAAAUAUAUCAAUUUUGAAAAAUAGAUGGGAUGAUAAAUAAAUUAAUGUCUUUAAUAAUUAUUUAUAUUGAAAUUAAGGAUUCAAAAUUAAUUUCAAAAUUUAAGUUUUAUUCAUAAAUUUAAAUCUGAAUUUAUUAAUUUAAAAUUUAGAAUUACUUCAAAUUUUUAAAAUUUGGAUACACAUUAAAAAAAAUUAAUGUUAGAAAAAAACUAACUGAUAAAUAAAUUUAUACCACCAAUAAUUACUUAAAUUUAAAAUAUUAAUAUAAAUUUAAUUUAAUUUAAUGUUAUGUGCAUUGCACGUGCACUAUAACUAGUUUUUAUAAACGACUGACUCUUUGUAGGAAUAAAUAUGAAAACGAAAACUUUGUAAGAAUAUAUCAGAAGAAAUAAUUUUUUACAGGAAAUUAUAUGUAAUUAUCCCUUAAAAGAAAAUUGCUAGGUUUUGAUCUUUUUAUGCAACAAUCGAUCAAUGGUUAGUAUACUCGGAAUCUAAACGCACACCUGGUCAGAUCACAUUAGGAGCUGAUUAUUUAAUUUAGGAAAAACUUCAAAUACCACUCUUGUGGUUUCAUACUUUUUUACUUUAGUAUUCUGUGGUUUAAAGUGUAUCAAUUUAGUGCCAUGUGGUUUCGCAGUUUCUCACUUUAGUAUUCUGUAGUUUAAAGUUCAUCAAUUUAGUAACUUCUGAUUUCAUUUUUCUCUUUUCGUCGGCUCUUCUGUUAAUAUUUUAUUAAAUUAUAUACAAAAAAAACUUCAGACACUCUACCUAGGUUUAUCAAAUAUUUAUUUUAGUACCCUUUAGUUUUAACUUUGUCACUGAUUUUUUUUUUCCUCCGUUAAUAUUUCGUUAAAUUAUAUACAAAAAAACUUCAGAUAUCCUACCUAGGUUUAUCGAAUAUUCACUUUAGUAUCCUUUAAUUUCAACUUUGUCACCGAUUUAACGAAAAAAAAUUAGUAAAAUGGAUAAUAAAAAGAAAAAAAAUAAAACCACAAGGUACUAACUUGAUACACUUUAAACCACAUGAUACUAAAGUGAGAAAGUGCGAAACCAUAAGGACUAACUUGAUACAUUUUAAACCAAAGAGUACUAAAGUGAGAAAGUGUGAAACCACAUAAAGGGUAUUUGAAGUUUACCUUUUAAUUUAUAACCUAAAAAUGAUCUAGUUGUCAAAUUCCCAUUCGUUUUGUUUCUAAUAAAGAGUAAUUGCUUUAGAGGGAAAAAAUUCAAAUUUUUGAAAAACUAUUGUUUCCUUUUUCAAAUUUCUUAUUUAAAAAAUAAAAGGUAAACUUCAAAUACCACCCUUAUGAUUUCGCACUUUCUCACUUAAGUACCCUGUGAUUUAAGGUGUAUCAACUUAGUACCUUACGAUUUUUUUUUUUUCUUUUCGUUAGCUACUUCGUUAAUAUUUCGUUAAAUUAUAUGCAAAAAAUUUCAGAUACUCACUUAGAUUUAUCGAAUAUUACUUUAGCACCCUUCAAUUUUAACUUUGUCAUUGAUUUAACGAAAAAAUAUUAGUAAAAUGAAUAAUAAAAAGAAAAAAAAUAAACCGCAUAGCACUAAAUUAAUAUACUUUAAAUCAUAGGGUACUAAAGUACGAAAGUGCGAAACCGAAGGACUGGUAUUUAAAAUUUUCUCAAAAAUAAAAAAAAAUAAAAAGUACUUUUAUAAUUUUUUGAAAAAUAAUUUUUUACACUUAUCCAAGAACCAAACAUUUCCUU